GAUUUUCGCAAUGCCCGAAAGGGUGACGAAGCGACGCCGCGUGCGGGAAGAAGGCCUUCGGGUUGUAAACCGCUGUCGGGAGUUAAGAAAUGUAAGGAUGUUAAUAGCAUCUUUGCUUGACUAAGGCUCCGGAGGAAGCCACGGCUAACUCUGUGCCAGCAGCCGCGGUAAUACAGAGGCGGCAAGCGUUGUUCGGAAUUAUUGGGCGUAAAGAGCACGUAGGCGGCUAUGUAAGUCGGUUGUGAAAGCCUUCCGCUCAACGGGAGAACAGCAUCCGAUACUGCAUGGCUUGAGUGCGGGAGGGGAGAGUGGAACUUCUGGUGGAGCGGUGAAAUGCGUAGAUAUCAGAAGGAACGCCGGCGGCGAAAGCGGCUCUCUGGCCCAUAACUGACGCUGAGUGUGCGAGAGCUAGGGGAGCAAACGGGAUUAGAUACCCCGGUAGUCCUAGCCGUAAACGAUGGGCACUAAGUAGAGGGGUUUUAAUC
This 485-nucleotide ribosomal RNA is filed under the name uncultured bacterium. RNAcentral describes it as "bacterial SSU rRNA". It matches the Rfam family "Bacterial small subunit ribosomal RNA", at positions 359 to 836 of the family's 1533-position model. The record is from RNAcentral.